UCGUGAUGCUAAUGUACAAGUUGUGGAAUUCAGUAGGGGUUACAUCUUUUAGCUCCAUGUUUGAUCCAGAAGAAGGUUAGCUACCAUGAGAUGUGCCCCUUGAGGAAGCCCUUGCAGAGCCUUUUCCAAGCCUCUUGAUCUGGUUCUUGUGCAUCCAAGCUUGCCUUUGCUGCUUCAGCAUGACAAGUCUGCAAAGAGUACACUUGUAUCAUCUUUCAAUAGAAAAGAAUUGUAUAUUUGCAUUUUUUAGAGUUGCAAACCUGAAGUUUCCUCAGAAAAGAUUUGAUGUUCAAAGUUCUUGAGAAUUAGAAAUUGACACCGACUAUUAAUUCCUUCAUUGUCAUCAUCAUAUUUAGCUAGUCUGAAGAAUGAAACAAUGCAUGCUUUACUCUUUUCAUGGUGCUAAAUGAUGAUGAAUAUGAACAGUAAUACCAUCUUUUUUUUAAAAAAGAAAAAAUCUAUUAAGAUCUAAAAAUCUACAAAAGAAAAAAACUGUUGGAUCAUAAUUUUCCUGGAUUCUGAACAGAUGUGAUCACAACCAAGGAUUUGAAUCUAAUCUACAGUAUCAGUUUAUCGAACAGUAUACCGAUCUGUGCAGUUCAACAUCGUUCAAAAAAGAUAAUACCUAUACCUACACCAGAUCAUCAUCAGACCAAUAAAUACCGAUGGAUACAAGGUACCUGAAUGAGAUUACGCUGGAGCAAACGAUCGACGAGGUGCAGGAGAAUGUCUUUGUUGUACUCCGGGUGACCCUGGAUGCCCAUGAUGUGAUCUCCACAUCUG
RNAcentral lists this long non-coding RNA (783 nucleotides) under Musa acuminata (dwarf banana). Its description in RNAcentral is "long non-coding RNA (MACU_LNC003573)". The record is from RNAcentral. Lineage: Eukaryota; Viridiplantae; Streptophyta; Magnoliopsida; Zingiberales; Musaceae.